This 492-nucleotide ribosomal RNA is filed under the name uncultured bacterium. RNAcentral describes it as "partial 16S ribosomal RNA". It matches the Rfam family "Bacterial small subunit ribosomal RNA", at positions 30 to 507 of the family's 1533-position model. The record is from RNAcentral.
AUUGAACGCUGGCGGUAGGCCUAACACAUGCAAGUCGACCGGCAGAACAGUAAUAGCUUCCUCUUACGGGUGGGGAGGGGCGGACGGGUGAGGGAUACAUACGUAUCUACUUGUUCGGGGGGGAGAACGUAGGGCCUAUUACCGCAUUACCGCAUACGACCUACGGGUGGAACCAUAGGAUCUUCGGACUUUGCGCGAGUGUAUGGGCGGAUGCCGGAUUAGCUAGUUGGCGGGGUAAAGGCCCACCAAGGCGACGAUCGGUAGCUGGCCUGAGAGGAUGAUCAGCCACACUGGAACUGAGACACGGUCCAGACUCCUACGGGAGGCAGCAGUGGGGAAUAUUGGACAAUGGGCGAAAGCCUGAUCCAGCCAUACCGCGUGGGUGAAGAAGGUCUUCGGGUUGUAAAGCCCUUUUAUUGGGAAAGAAAAGCAGCAGGUUAAUACCCCGCUGUUGUGACGGUACCAAAAGAAUAAGCACCGGCUAACUUCGUG